This 492-nucleotide ribosomal RNA is filed under the name uncultured bacterium. Its description in RNAcentral is "partial 16S ribosomal RNA". It matches the Rfam family "Bacterial small subunit ribosomal RNA", at positions 29 to 507 of the family's 1533-position model. The record is from RNAcentral.
AGUGAACGCUGGCGGUAGGCCUAACACAUGCAAGUCGAACGGCAGCACAGUAAGAGCUUGCUCUUACGGGUGGCGAGUGGCGGACGGGUGAGGAAUACAUCGGAAUCUACUUUUUCGUGGGGGAUAACGUGGGGAAACUUCUGCUAAUACCGCAUACGACCUACGGGUUAAAGCAGGGGUUCUUCGGACCUUUCGCGAUUGAAUGAGCCGAUGUCGGAUUAGCUAGUUGGCGGGGUAAAGGCCCACCAAGGCGACGAUCCGUAGCUGGUCUGAGAGGAUGAUCAGCCACACUGGAACUGAGACACGGUCCAGACUCCUACGGGAGGCAGCAGUGGGGAAUAUUGGACAAUGGGCGCAAGCCUGAUCCAGCCAUACCGCGUGGGUGAAGAAGGCCUUCGGGUUGUAAAGCCCUGUUGUUGGGAAAGAAAAGCAGCAGGUUAAUACCCCGCUGUUCUGACGGUACCCAAAGAAUAAGCACCGGCUAACUUCGUG